RNAcentral lists this non-coding RNA (46 nucleotides) under Schistosoma margrebowiei. Lineage: Eukaryota; Metazoa; Platyhelminthes; Trematoda; Strigeidida; Schistosomatidae. The record is from RNAcentral.
GUACUACAGAGGAGUCCCACAAUAGGAUGAAACGACCGUCCAGUGC